CAGUAGCCACGGGAAUACGGAGGGCGCGAGCGUUACCCGGAUUUACUGGGCGUAAAGGGCGUGUAGGCGGCCUGGGGCGUCCCAUGUGAAAGGCCACGGCUCAACCGUGGAGGAGCGUGGGAUACGCUCAGGCUAGAGGGUGGGAGAGGGUGGUGGAAUUCCCGGAGUAGCGGUGAAAUGCGCAGAUACCGGGAGGAACGCCGAUGGCGAAGGCAGCCACCUGGUCCACUUCUGACGCUGAGGCGCGAAAGCGUGGGGAGCAAACCGGAUUAGAUACCCGCGUAGUCCCUGUCUCUUAUAC
Molecule: ribosomal RNA, 301 nt
Filed under: uncultured bacterium
Lineage: Bacteria
Description: partial 16S ribosomal RNA
Rfam family: Bacterial small subunit ribosomal RNA
Source: RNAcentral